AACGAACGCUGGCGGCAUGCCUAACACAUGCAAGUCGAACGAGAUCCUUCGGGGUCUAGUGGCGCACGGGUGCGUAACGCGUGGGAAUCUGCCCUUAGGUUCGGAAUAACAGUUAGAAAUGACUGCUAAUACCGGAUGAUGACGUUAAGUCCAAAGAUUUAUCGCCUGAGGAUGAGCCCGCGUAGGAUUAGCUAGUUGGUGUGGUAAAGGCGCACCAAGGCGACGAUCCUUAGCUGGUCUGAGAGGAUGAUCAGCCACACUGGGACUGAGACACGGCCCAGACUCCUACGGGAAGCAGCAGUGGGGAAUAUUGGACAAUGGGCGCAAGCCUGAUCCAGCAAUGCCGCGUGAGUGAUGAAGGCCUUAGGGUUGUAAAGCCCUUUUACCCGAGAUGAUAAUGACAGUAUCGGGAGAAUAAGCCCCGGCUAACUCCGUG
RNAcentral lists this ribosomal RNA (436 nucleotides) under uncultured bacterium. Its description in RNAcentral is "partial 16S ribosomal RNA". It matches the Rfam family "Bacterial small subunit ribosomal RNA", at positions 29 to 507 of the family's 1533-position model. The record is from RNAcentral.